GAUUUGAACCCAACUCUUAGUUGGGUAAAUAUAUUAACAAUGACUGCCUUUCACUUAAAUUAACGUAUAAGUUGUGCGUUAUCAAAAAAUGGCGUUGUUGCCGGGGAAUAAUUUGGCAUAUUGAGUUAGUUUGGAAUUAGUUUACUUGCUUUGAUUCUAACUUGUAAAUAGUUGUUUGUAAUUUUGUUUCAUUUCUUUUGUUAGUUAGGUACUUAUUUAUUUUUUUUAAUUAUUAAUAUGAAAUCUUGGAAUGAAAGUGAAUUCGGUGGUUGGAGAUCCUAUUGUGAAAAUCCAUGUCCAUAUUGUAAUGCACCCCACCUUUGGCAAGAUUAUAGAUAUGCUCCCCGGUGAGAGAUGUGUGCACCAUCUCAAUCUUAUAGGGGGUAUGGUUAUCCUCUAUAUGGUGGUCAAGAUAGACAUUGGAGUGAUUGUACAAAUGCCCGCUCCCCC
This 450-nucleotide long non-coding RNA is filed under the name Capsicum annuum. Its description in RNAcentral is "long non-coding RNA (CANN_LNC010339)". Lineage: Eukaryota; Viridiplantae; Streptophyta; Magnoliopsida; Solanales; Solanaceae. The record is from RNAcentral.